Acanthosepion pharaonis is the source of this 106-nucleotide non-coding RNA. The record is from the annotation of a GenBank genome assembly. NCBI's taxonomy places the organism in Eukaryota, Metazoa, Mollusca, Cephalopoda, Sepiida, Sepiidae.
UUACGGCCAUAUCACGUUGAAACACCGGUUCCCGUACGAUCACCGAAGUUAAGAAACGUCCAGCCUGGUCAGUUACUAGGUGCGUGACCGCUUGGUAAUACCAGGU